Condylura cristata (star-nosed mole) is the source of this 260-nucleotide long non-coding RNA. RefSeq lists it as uncharacterized. The record is from RefSeq and is a predicted model, not a curated record. NCBI's taxonomy places the organism in Eukaryota, Metazoa, Chordata, Mammalia, Eulipotyphla, Talpidae. The transcript has 3 exons.
UUAUCACUUACUUGACUGAAGGCUUGAAGACCGGUGAGAGGUAAACCAUCAGUCUGAGAGCACUCUGCAUACUGAAAAAGGACGUGCAAUGAUAUUGCAGGAGACAGAAGAUGCUGCCUUACCACUGAAUGGUGGUGAAACUUCCGGCUUCCCACUUGGCCUCCAUAGCAGGAAGCUAACCACCAUGACAUGCCAAAUACAAGCACAACAAAGUGUCUAUAAAAGAUUACCCGGGCCCUCCCUGGUGGCGCAGCGGGUUA